Molecule: non-coding RNA, 73 nt
Organism: Trichonephila inaurata madagascariensis
Lineage: Eukaryota; Metazoa; Arthropoda; Arachnida; Araneae; Nephilidae
Source: the annotation of a GenBank genome assembly
GUCUCUGUAGCGCAGUGGAUAUCGCGUUGGGCUUCUAAUUCAAAGGUCGUGGGAUUGAAUCCCACCUGGGAUG